AUGAAGCGCGGCCACGGCGCGUGCGCGGCGCUGCUGAACCCGUCGGCGGCGGAGCACAUGGUGUGGCCAUCGCCGCUCAAGUUCAUCGGCGAGCUGCGGGCGGACACGAGGGCGUUCCUGGAGGCGGCAAGAGGCGGCUUUACCGAGGCCAACAGGGAGCGGGAGAAGAAGAUCCUGGGCAGCAAGUACUCGGACUCCUCGCCGAUACAAGGUCAGAGGCGUGCAGCUCGUGCUCUGCUGCCACAGCAAGCCCAACCCGAUACGAGAAGCCGGCGUCAUCACGGCUGUGCCGGAGGCGGUCGCGGAGGUCACGCGAGGGGAGCAGCAGUCUCGUCGGCCGGUUGCCGCAUCGAGCAGCAGCGAGGUGAGCCGGCCGCGCCCGCGGGAUCCGGCCGGAGAGGCGAGCUCGGGUGGCAAGGAGGAAGGCGACGGGGCUGCGGGUGGACGGCACGCCGCCACCCAGGAAGCAGAGGAGCGGCACUAGGAUCUAGGCGGCGUCCGGGGCGUCCUCGACGGCGCGGCCGUCGUCUACUUCAACUACAUCGGCGACGACUCCGCAUCCACCAUGGCCGAGAAGAUCUGGGACCCCGCCUGCGCGCUGCCCGUCGGCAUCGCCGGCUCCGUGCUCAACGUCUCCACUGCUCGUAG
RNAcentral lists this ribosomal RNA (648 nucleotides) under Triticum aestivum (bread wheat). RNAcentral's name for it is "partial small subunit ribosomal RNA". Lineage: Eukaryota; Viridiplantae; Streptophyta; Magnoliopsida; Poales; Poaceae. The record is from RNAcentral.